CGGCGGGAGUAACUAUGACUC
Molecule: non-coding RNA, 21 nt
Filed under: Arabidopsis thaliana (thale cress)
Lineage: Eukaryota; Viridiplantae; Streptophyta; Magnoliopsida; Brassicales; Brassicaceae
Also listed under: 2 other names
Source: RNAcentral